Long non-coding RNA from Macadamia integrifolia, 1466 nucleotides. RefSeq lists it as uncharacterized. The record is from RefSeq and is a predicted model, not a curated record. The transcript is spliced from 3 exons. NCBI's taxonomy places the organism in Eukaryota, Viridiplantae, Streptophyta, Magnoliopsida, Proteales, Proteaceae.
CACACCUCCUGUAGUAUUAGAAACCUCAUGUAUUGAGUACGUCUUUAUCAGAUAAGAUAUGCUGCACAUACUCGAAAGUUGGGUAGUCAAUCUCAUGUUUAACUCAAUUACUCAUUGAUACUUUUUUUUAUUAACAGCUCAUUGAUACUAACCUACCCAAUUCGGCCGAGCAUGUGUUUUCUGUCUUUAUAAACCUAACCAGCUGCUUCCUAAUGAAAACCACCCACCCCAAAAAAAAAAAAAACCCAAUAAAGGCCAUAUUGCAUUCUUCUUAUACCCAAUUAGAUAUGAAGAUCAAAUCACUUCGAUGGCUCUUCUUGAUCAUCCUAUGCUUGCAAGCAUUUUCAGGUCUUAGACAUACAAGAUCUGAGCUACUGGGACAAAUUGGAGGAGAAAAGCCGCAGCCACAUGGUUCAAAUGUGACGAUUGGGUUAGAGGAGAAAGAUGGGCAAAGAAGAAGAUAUGAGGAAGUGAAGCUCUUACAUUUAGGUGGCCAUAAAGGGAGGGGGAAUGGUGGUGGGAACAUAAAUCCACGACCUUCUACGACUUAUAGGAAAAGUGACGCACCCACCCUCUUGGCAAGGCUUUCUUCAAUCAUCUCACUAGAUUCAAAUGCGACGAGAGAAGAAUGCAUUUUAAACCCAACACUCUAUUCCGAACAUGCGUACCAAAAUGGUUUUAGAUUUUAAGCAAAAACAAGUUAGAUAAGGAACUAAAAUUCUAAAAAUAUACCAAGGCCUAUCUACAUGUAUACAUGUUGUCUUCGAUAUAUGAUAUUUUACUUUUGGCUCAAUAGACAAGGCUUAGCAAAAGCUCAUUCUCAAAAGAACAGCUAUGGAAUAGAAAAAGUGAAAUUUUAAUUAAUUUAAUUCAAAAUGCAUUCCGCAUUGGUCCUAAUCAUUUGAUUAAGAAAUUUAAAUAUUUCUGUCUGGCUAAUUAAAAUGACCACUCCAAAAUAUAAGUCCCCAAAGACAAAGACCACCCAACCUCGUCUUCUCAAUAUACUCUUAACUUAUCUCAUGUAACAUUUUCUUUUUCAUAUACGCUUUUAUAUGUAUAAUACUCGCUCUCUCAGAAGAAUAACAGAGAUUUUAACAUAUCUAGACAAGUGGGCGUGAAAAGACAGUUUUCUAAUUUUUUUUCACUGAAAUAAAGUGAGAAUACAAAAGAGAGGGAGGGAGGGAGAGAAACGAAAAUCCACAAAUUUAGUAAUUGCAUUUAUUUAUUAUUAUUGUUACUAUUUUUUUUGGUGGUGGUAAACAUAGGGAACUAAAAUCUUUAGGAUACACAAGGUCCUUAUAUAUAUAUAUAUAUAUAUAUACACACAAAAGCAUUGGGCCUUGAGAUUUGAUAUUGUACUCUUGGCAAAAAUCAAAACAACAAGGUUUAGUGAAAGCCCAUUCUCUAAAGAACAGCUAUGAGCAGAAAAAUAUGAAAUUUUAAUCAAAUAAAUUCAAAAUGCAUUU